CGGCCGUACGAGUUUGACACGUACAAAUUUUUUCGUUCGUUGUUAUAUUUUUGAUUCCUGUGUUUUGUGCUUGUGUGUAUUUUAUUUCAACUUCACUCUGUAUUCACAUCGACAUUUAAUUGUGUACUCAAUUCCACUUUCGUGCAUCGAAAAUGAACAUUUUACAUCGGAAAUAAGAAAAGAAUCAUGAAAAAAUCACCAUAUUUAUAUGAACGGACACGGAAAUUGUGUGAAAAGUAAAGUGAAAAUUGGAUAAUGCACGGAAUACCCUUGUCCGUGCUGUUUUGCUUGUGAGCAUUGCAUCGCGAUUUCGCUCACCACAAAGAAAUCAUAAGUUUGUGGAUAAAAAUCAAAUCACAUAUAAAAUUGUGUCAAAUUUGUUGAAAACCAAAAGGUUAAAAGCAGCAGAAUCUGCAAACUCAAUUUUAAAAGUCAAAACGAAUCAUCAAGUAACAUUUUGUGGUGACACCAAAGAAGCCUUGUGUGUCGUCGACCCAAAUUUUAAACGAAAAAAGAAAGAAACAAUUCACGUAAACGAUGUUGUGCAUGCACAAUUGGUUCAAAGUAAAUAUUUACCAAUAAUAAAGCAAAGAGGAAAUUUACAGAGAAAAUAUAAAAUAAUUAACAACCGCAUAAAAAUAGGUAACUCAUUUACCAAACACAGUGAGUGAGAAGGAAACAAAAACAGAAAGUUUACGAAAUAGAAUCAAGUGUGGUCAAUACAAAAAAAAGUCGCGUAACCAACGACGAAAGAAACAAAUCAAAUAACCGCAGCAACAGCAACAGCAACAGAAUAUUUAUAUGUUUAUAUACCUUUAAAAAGAAAUACCAUUUGAAAAACCAUAGAAUCGCUGAGCGAGAGUAAGAAAGAGAGAAAAAGCGCGAAUCUGAGAGUCGAUACCAAUUCGCAAAAAGGGGACAACAAAGAACCGAAUUGCGAAAAAAAAACUGAUUUCUACAAACACAUAUGAACAAUUUGUUAAGUGAUUUCUUUUGUGCGGACUGGUUGUUGCUGGCGUUAACACAUAUACAUACACAGAAAACCAGCUAAGAAAUAAUAAGAAACAGAGACAGCCAGCAGCUAAAAUUCAACAUACGAAAAAAAAAAACACACGAAAAAACAUUAACAACAACAGCAGCAGCAGCACAAAGUAAACGAAGGCAAACCAAAAGACGGGAAUAAAAGCGCAUAAGAGAGAGAAAUGAAAGCCGUCUGAACGAAUAACACACGCUGAAUCGUUGUAUUGCAUGUGCUACGAACCGAUAUCUUGGUGUUUGUGUUGUUUAGCUAUUGUGCAUGGUCUUUUUCUCUCUCAUUUUUGCCAUUGUACGAUACAUUAGGCGAACGCACACUUGUACAAACAACAGCAACGGCAACAACAUCGUCAAUAUUGCAUUCCCUUCUUUGCCUUUCCACAUUUUUUUCCUCUCUCUCGUUAUCUUCUUUGCACACGCACCGAGGCAAUAGUACGGUGUGAGUCGCUAUCUCAUUUGGAUGUAUAUAUAUUUUUUUCACCCGUAUGUGGAUUUCAUCUGACGGGCUCAAAAAGAAAAAAACAACAGAGAACACAAAUUAAAAAGGAACCAGAAACAUACAAUCGCCGAACGUGUCAUAUAGUUGGAAUAGUGUGCGUGCAUGUAAUAGUUGUUGUUUCUCUUUUGAUAUUUUUUGUGUAGCUGCGUUUGGGUUUUUUUCGUCUCUUCUCUGCUGUGAUGCCUCUAUAGAAAACAGAGUGUUUGUGAUUUGGUGAGGCUGAAUGGUAGCUUGGUUAUUACUACGAUUUUUUUUUUGACUCGAUUCAUAUACAACGAGCACAAGUAUUCACCGUACAAAAACUCAAGCAAUAUACAAACAACAAAUAAAUGUUUAAGUACCCCAUUCACUUGUACACAGGGCUCACAACAGUGAUUUGGACCGAUUUUGUCUUUUCACACUCCAUUCAUUUAUAUAUAAAGUUGUAGUUGGUGCAAUAAAUAUUUGCUGUUGAUAGAUCAUUUCAUCUUUUCUGAUGUCUGGUAUCACAGCAUGACACAUUGUUUGGGCUCACAUUGGAAUUGAAUGGGUGCAAAAUACGAGUACACUUGUUUAUCUAUGCAUUGAUGUGUGUUACCCGAAAACAAAAAGAAGAAAAAAAAAACCAACCGAUAUGGUAUCUAUUUACCAUGAAUGGCAAUUUGUUUUGUGAGUUAACAAAUCGACUGACAGAGAGAAAAUAUCGCGCUAUGCAUAUAAAGAGAAAAAUACCCGAUUCGGCGAAAAUAAAUGCAUGUUUGCAUUAGCAUUGAAAGCGUUUCAUGAACUCUGAAAAAUAGGAUACGUGAUAAAUAACUGUAAUCAACAUAAAGUCGAUUAAAAACAUCAAAACUUAAAUAAAUAAUAAGUGAGCACAUACAUAUCGAGAUAAAAAAAAAAAUAAUAAAAAAAAAACAGCCACAGCAACAAACGCAAACGAAAUCGUCGUAUUGAAAAGAGAAAAUUGUGUGGCCAUUUUUUUUUCUCUCAUUCGCCACAUACAUGAGUAAUUACGAAUCACAGUGCCGUUAGUGAUUGUAUUCCAAUAACACUUCGAAUAACGUAUACGCAUACGCACAGGUGUAAGGGGCAAAUAUACAUAAGAAGAAAAAACACAUUCCAUCUGUUGGUUGUUGGAACACCGAAACGUGAAUUCAUUCACAGCAUAGCAAACUCGAUUAAAUCUUAUGUGUACAUAAAUUGUCAUUAGUUCGUACACGGUGCUCCAACAUAGACGAGGCCGUGGCACACCGUGAUUAUGUGCGAUAGCAGAAGAAAGUGAAGAGAGUGGACUAUGACGGACCAAAGUGAAAACGUAUAACGAGCGCGCGCGAGUCAACCGAUAACAAUCGUCGUACAACAAGACACUCUUUUCGCGAGAAAUAAAAACAUUCGCGAAACGAGGCUAAAUCUAGCCGGAGCUCUCUCGCCUCGAAUCAUAAGUGGUGUAUAUAAAUAAAACAGACGAAAAAAAACGGUGUUUCUUUCAUAAAUAAAAAUGGAACGAAAAAAAUGCAAAAAGAAACAAUCAACAUCCUGAAUAAAUUUAUGGUUGUGAUUGGUAUUGCAUUUGAAAUUAAUCGUCGUCCGGUGUGAGAAGUACAUUUACACGAAAACAGUGUGUGAUUUGUGUCGCAACGCAACCAAUAGUGAAGAACGAAAGAUAUAUAUAAAAGAACUUAAUACGGUCGGUGCCGAAAAAGUAUAAACAACAAUUUGCGCUCUAUUGCGAUAUUUCAUUCAUCCGUUUAAACCCAUGCGGUGAAUAAACAUCGAACAAACAGGCGGCUAUAAAUCGAGUUCAAUAUCUUCAUCGCUUUGGCAACCCCUCAUUUUUUUUCUUCUUCAUCUUUCGAGUCGCAGUACUUUGCUUCAACUAAAUGCAGGGCAUUGGUAAUUCGAUUCAUUAUUCUCGGUCAUCGAAGUGAAUGAGGAACGUCACAGCACUCGAACCAUACCCAUCAACAUCAGCACCAAGCGAACGCAUACAUAUCGGGAUAUCAGUUUUAAUGAAUCCAAUGAAACGAGCAAAUGUGCGUAAGCAAAAUCAAUGCAUGGGGAAAAAAUUGCAUUAACCAUAAUGCGAAUAUAUUUAGCUUAGCCUGUGUGGCACGAACGAAGUUCAAAAGAGUAAAUCAAAAAGCAAACGUGUAACAUACAUGAACUUAUUCACACGAACAUGACAUAAGAAGAACGACGACGACGACGACGCACACGGUGUUUGAAGAAAUUUAGAAAACGAAAAGAAAAACUUUAUUUUUUUUUUGUGAUAGACAUUUUUUGCAGCUCGCUCGACUUUUGUGACGACACAUAUUUUUGCGAUGUUGCCAAAAGGCAAAAGUAUUAAGUACCAUUGCUUCUGAAAUACGGACCAAUCUAAGAUGCCAAAUCAAACAAAUCUUCGAAGUGAAUAUUAUAAAAUUUUAAUGUCUUCGUGAAUUUCCUAUGCAUAUUUCAUACGAUUUUCAUUUAAUUCCAAUGAAAAGAAAAUACCAAUUUUGAAAUCAUUUAAGUGAGAAAGAAAGAGAAAGAUUAACGAAAUUUUUUUGUAUGAAUUUUAUAUUAAAACUUAUGCGAAUAGUGAACGAACAGAACAAUUAAAUGAACAUUUUAAUUGAAUUAAAUAAGUAUAUAGAUGCGUAUAAAAAAAAAAUUUUAUGUAAUCACAACAUAAAUUUAUGUAUGUGAGUGACCCAAGAACACAUAAUACGAAACGAACAAGCGCGCACACAGCCAAAUUAUUCCCCCUUUUUUCGAACAUAUCAACGGCAACAAUAAAAAUUAAUUAUUAUCGUACAGUAGCAAGUUUUGUACAAUUUGUUUAAAAAAAAAACCUAACGUGCUGCGAAAUAUCAAAAUUGCUCUCGGCGCACACAACUACACAACGAUAACAACGACGAAGGCGGCGACAGCAACAACAGAGCCCGAUAAUAUAUAUCUAUAUAAAAGUGUUUUUUUAGCUGUGUACAAGUCAUAAUAAUUUUACGUAGUGUUUAGUGUUGAAAGUGAUCGAAUUCCAUAGUUUGUAUAAGUAAGAAACGAAAAAGAAAUUUUUUUUAAUCAAAAUAUCAAAAAUGAAUCGUUCUGCGGCCACACGAUUUCAAUGCACAAUGAAAUCAAAAAUCACUCAAAUUACUGUAAUUUUACUUGCUAUGCUUAAGAUAUGUUAUAGUGCAGACAUAGUUAUUGAGAUACCUGGUAAUUUAGGACAAGACGAUUCAUCAUAUCGUUUAGACUAUUAUCCACCGUACGGUAAUCCAUUGCCAAAUACAACGAUUGCAUCGAAAGAUGUGGGCGACGAAAUUCGAUUCUCAAAUGUUUUGGCUGGUACAAAAUAUAAUUUCUGGCUUUACUACACCAAUUCAUCGCAUCACAAUCUGCUCGCUUGGACCGUUUCCAUAACCACCGCACCAGAUCCACCGUCAAAUUUAUCGGUGUCGGUGAAGAGCGGCAAAUCGGCGGUCAUCUCGCUAAGUCCCCCAUCCAAAGGCAACUAUUCAUCGUUCAAAUUGCGGAUAUUGGGCUUAUCCGAUGGAUUCGUUACGAAUCGAACCAUUCCAAUUGAAGCCAACGAGCUACAGUACAAUGUACGCGAUUUAUCGCCAGGGGCCAGCUAUCAAGUCCAAGCAUUCACCGUCUUUGACAACCGAGAAUCGGUGGCAUAUACUAGUCGCAACUUUACAACAAUGAAAAGAAUACGUCACAAAGACCUGUUGGAUAUUAAAAUACUCAGAGAGCCAAAUACACCAGGCAAAUUCAUUGUUUGGUUUAGAAAUGAAACAACAUUGCUUGUUUUAUGGCAACCACCAUAUCCGGCUGGUAUCUAUACACAUUAUAAAGUAUCAAUCGAGCCACCAGAUGCGAUGGAAAGUGUUUUAUAUGUGGAGAAAGAAGGCGAACCGCCAGGUCCAGCACAAGCUGCAUUUAAAGGUUUGGUACCCGGACGCGCUUAUAAUAUUUCCGUUCAAACAAUGUCCGAAGAUGAAAUUUCAUUUCCAACUACCGCACAAUAUCAGACAGUACCGUUAAAACCGUUGAACGUAACAUUUGACAAAGAAUCAAUAACGUCGAAUGGUUUUCGUGUAAUAUGGGAGGCUCCGAAGGGAUUGAGCGAAUUCGAUAAGUAUCAAGUAUCAAUAUCGAAUUCACGACGUCAACAGAACGUUCCGCGUACCGGUGAUUCGGUUACUUGGCUUGAAUUCAGAGAGAACUUGGAACCAGGUCGAACAUAUCAAGUAACAGUGAAAACGGUAUCAGGGAAAGUCACAUCGUGGCCUUCAACUGGUGAUGUUACAUUGCAACCGUUGCCGGUUAUUAAUCUUCGAUCGUAUACCAACAAUAAAACCGGCCUCGUUACCAUCUCUUGGGACCCCGAUGAAGGGAGCUAUGAAGAAGAAUAUAAAAUUAGCUAUCAUGAAGUUGAAACAUUUAACGGUGAUUCCAGCACAAUGAAUACAAAUCAAACGAGCUAUGUAUUGGAAUCACUUUUACCCGGUCGAAACUAUUCGCUAACGGUACAAGCAAUUUCAAAGCACAUGGAAUCAAAUGAAUCAACUAUCUAUGUGGUUACACGACCAUCAUCGCCAAUCAUCGAAGAUCGGAAAUCAAUUAAAGAAGGUUUGAACAUCAGCUGGAAGAGUGACGUUAACUCGAGACAAGACAAAUACGAAGUGAUUUACUAUCGAAACGACACUGGCGAAGAGAAAACAUUCACAACAACCGAUUCACGGCUUAUCAUCCGCAAUUUGUACUCUGGAGCUGGUUAUGAAAUCAAAGUGUUUGCCGUUAGUCAUGGUCUUCGAUCCGAACCACAUUCAUACUUUGUGGCUGUUUAUCCAAAUCCACCGCAAGAUAUGACUAUCGAAAAGGUGACAAGUAAUUCGGUGCUUGUUCAUUGGUUGCCACCAAAAAAGAGUGAAUUUUCAUCGUAUGUCAUUCGGUAUCGUACCGAAAGCGAAAAAGAAUGGCUACCAUUGCCAUCGGUAACAACCACAGAAGCUGAUGUCACCGAUAUGACUCCAGGCGAAAAGUAUACGAUUCAAGUGAAUACGGUGAGCUACGGUGUCGAAAGUCCAAAUCCACAACAAGUUAAUCAAACCGUGCGACCUAAUCCAGUUUCGAAUAUUUUCCCAUUGGCCGAUUCAACCAAUAUCACACUCGAAUGGCCACGACCUGAAGGUCGGGUUGAAACUUAUGUACUUUCAUGGUGGCCAUCAGAAAGACCAGAAGAAGUUCAUACGAAAAAUAUGUCGGAGGCGAAUGUUUCACUGAUUGAUAUCAAUAAAAAAGUCGAGGAUCAGCCCAUCGUUCGUGUUUUGAUUGGUGAUUUAAUGCCUGGAGUUGAAUAUAGAUUCGAUAUCCAUACCAUUUCGUACAAUUUGAUAAGUGAUGUAACUCAGUUAUCUGCCCGAACAUUGCCUCUGAUUUUGUCCGAGGUGUUGGUGGUGAAUAAUCACGGUGAACGAGAUACAGUGACUUUAAGCUAUACCCCAACACCGCAAAAGUCUUCCAAGUUUGAUUUGUAUCGUUUCUCGCUCGGCGACCCCGACAUUCCGGACAAAGAAAAAUUGGCCAAUGACACCGACCGGAAGGUUACAUUUACCGGUCUAACGCCAGGGCGUUUGUACAAUAUCACCGUGUGGACGGUUAGUGGUGGUGUUUCAAGUCUUCCGAUUCAACGUCAAGAUCGAAUGUAUCCAGAGCCGAUAACAAAAUUAAACGCAACACGUAUAACACCCGAACAAAUCACACUAAACUGGGACAUACCACAAGGCGAAUACAAUUCAUUUGAAAUCCAGUAUUUACGUUCAGACAUUGAAUUAACUGUCAACAUUACGAAUCACAAUCAUAUCACAAUAUCGAAUCUAAGACCCCAUCGUCAAUAUACAUUUACCGUUGUUGUACGGUCUGGCACUGAAUCAAGUGUAUUGCGUAGUAGUUUACCAGUGUCGGCGACAUUCAUGACUAAAGAAUCUGUUCCGGGAAGUGUUAAUAGAUUUUCACCCAUCGAUAUUCAGCCGAGUCAAAUUACAUUUGAAUGGUCACUUCCAAGUACCGAACGAAAUGGUGUUUUACAACAAUUUUCAAUAACAUAUGGCUUGGAGGGAUCGUCACACACUCAGGUCAAAGAUUUCAAACCCACCGAAUUACAAGGUACAAUUUACAAUUUACUACCUGGACGCUCGUAUGCGUUCCAUAUUCAAGCCAAGACAAAUGUUGGCUACGGACCGGAAACUAUGUGGAAAGAGAAAAUGCCGAUUUUAUCACCGCCAAAACCCCCACCACAAGUGGUCCCAACUGAGGUCUAUCGCAGUUCGUCAUCGAUUCAAAUUCGAUUCCGGAAAAAUUACUUUUCUGAUGCAAAUGGACAGGUGAAUAUGUAUACAAUCAUCAUUGCGGAGGAUGAUUCAAAGAAUGCAUCCGGUCUGGAGAUGCCAAGUUGGCGUGAUGUUCAAGCGUACAGUGUAUGGCCACCGUAUCAAGUGAUUGAACCAUACUAUCCAUUCAAAAAUAGCACCAUCGAAGACUUUACAAUUGGCGUCGAGAACUGUGAAAAUCGUUUCAAUGGCUACUGCAAUGGACCGUUGAAAUCAGGCACCACAUAUCGUGUUAAAGUUCGAGCAUUUACUGCAGCCGAUAAAUUUACAGACACUUCAUUCAGUUUUCCCAUACAAACGGAUCUCUUGUAUAUGAUGGAUCAAGAUAAUACAUCGUUGAUUGUGUCGUUGGCCGUGCCGUUUGCACUAUUUUUUGCAUUUUGUGUAAUCGUAUCCAUUCUGUACGUGCGACGAAAACGGCACGGCGGUCGCCGAACAACCAAGGAAUCACGAGCCAAUGAUAAUAUGUCAUUACCAGACAGUGAAGUUGAAACCAGCCGCAAGAUUUAUCUCAAGAAUUUCUCCGAACAUUUCCGAUUGAUGUCGGCCGAUUCAGAUUUUCGUUUCAGCGAAGAGUUCGAUGAGCUCAAGCACGUUGGUCGUGAUCAACCGUGUCAAUUUGCUGUGUUGCCAUGUAAUCUACCUAAGAAUCGAUUCACAAACAUCCUCCCGUACGAUCAUUCUCGCUUUAAAUUGCAACCGGUUGAUGAUGACGAAGGUUCGGACUAUAUCAACGCCAAUUACGUACCAGGUCACAAUUCACCUCGAGAGUUCAUCGUGACACAAGGUCCACUACAUUCGACACGUGAUGACUUUUGGCGUAUGUGCUGGGAAAGUAAUUCGCGUUCAAUUGUAAUGCUAACACGAUGCUACGAGAAAGCCCGCGAAAAAUGCGAUCAAUAUUGGCCGUUGGAUACGGAUCCAUUGCACUAUGGUGACAUAAAAGUGCAAAUGCUUAACAAUAGCCAUUAUCCGGAUUGGAUAAUCACCGAAUUAAUUGUGAGUCGGGGCAAUGAACAGCGAACCGUUCGUCAUUUGCACUUCACAACGUGGCCAGAUUUUGGUGUUGUACCGCCACAAACAUUGGUACGAUUUGUACGCGCUUUCCGGGAUCGAAUUAAACCGGAUCAAAGGCCGGUGGUCGUGCAUUGCAGCGCCGGAGUUGGUCGCUCCGGUACAUUCAUUGCGCUCGAUCGAUUGCUACAGCAAAUUAAAGUUUGUGAUUUUGUUGAUAUUUUCAAUAUCGUGUACACCAUGCGAAAAGAACGUGUAUGGAUGGUUCAGACCGAAUCACAGUACAUUUGUAUUUAUCAGUGUUUGUUGACAGUCCUCGAAGGAAAAGAGAACACCAGUCCAAUUAGGGAAAUUCACGAUAAUCAAGGAUACGAAGAAAAAGACUUACUAACUGAUCAAGAAAAUGGCACUAUUGCAAUAGUUAAAGCGAUUGAUACAAGCUUGCAAGAUGAUGACGGCAGCACAACGAAUUGGAAAGGAGAGAGAUGACAAGACGAGAAUGCCAACAAUAAUAGCAUGCUUAUUAUUGUUAAUACGGCAUUCGAGGAACCAGUAAAAAAUUCGGAUGAAGAAACAGCACAGGCAACGAACGAUGAAAAUGCCAUCGUUCAAGACAUCGAAUUGGCGGUCAUGAGUAUGGAUGAAAGUUUAAAUAGUUCAAAUGAAAUCAAUGAAAGUCCAAUCGAUGGCGAAGAAAUCGACACCAGUGAUAAUAAUACCACAAAUAAUACACAAACCACAGCCGAAUGUGACGAUCGAUUACUACCGAUUGAACAGAAACACAUACGAAAUGGUAGCGGAAGUAGUAACUAUGAUGAUUAUGAGGCAGACGAAAAUCUCUCAAUAAGUGUCGACGAAUUACGAAAGCACAAUGGCGAUUAUGGUAUACAAGACGUUCAAAAUGCAGACGAAACACGAAAAUUGGUCAAUGGUGAAAAUGGCAGCGAAUUAGAAGACUGCGAUUAUUAUUCCGAUGCUGAUAAUGAUGCUGAUGUCGAACAACAUCGGGCGGACAUAAUAAAAUUUAAUGGUGGUGACGGGAUUAUAGCUAAUCAUUUUAUUGAUGAUGAAGGCAUCGCCGAAUCGGGAAUGUGAUUUCAUGAAGUCAUUAUGUAAAAAGAAAAUUAUUCAUAUUAUUACUACGGAAACGAAUAACAACAAGGCCAACUAUAUUUACACAUUAUUUUUAAAUUUUAUAUAAUCAUUUUUCAAUCGAGUUUUUUUUUUUUUUUUAACGUAAAAUUCUGUUUUAUAUCCAAAAACAUGGAUAGCAAUUGAACAAAUAGCCAUUUUAGAUGGUAACGAAAGGUGGAUCACUUAACUAUAAUAAUAACCAUAUGAACAAAACUAUCAAAACUAUAUUAAUGGAUUAUAAUUUUUAUGACGUUCCUCCAUCGCAAAUAGUUUUUGUUGUUGUGAAAAAGCAAUUGUAAAAAAAAAAUAUGAAGAAAUACUAUAAGACGAUCGAUUUUAAAGUCAUCGAACAAAAAAAAAAUGCUUGUAUAGAAUUUGAUGUGAUCGAUGGUGUUUGUGUAAUUAAGAAUUUAAUAGAUAUUUUAAAUAGACGACAAAACGCCGUGCAAUAGUGCUCGAUUUGUGCGAUUUUAAUCAAAAUUUAUAUACAUACAUAAUAUUCAUAAACAUAUACUAUAUAUAUAUUCAUAUAUUAUCGGAUAAUACUAAAAACAAUCGAAAUCGGCAGAUGAGUAAUCGAUUAGAUUUCCAAUGUAUGCAAAUUUAAUAACAUCACGACGUAUAUUAAGCUAUCACUUGAUAUUUUCCAUAAUUUUGGCCGUUCAUCCAAAAUAAUUUUCAAUCAGAUCGAGUGAUGGCGCGGCCAAUGGGCCCGAUGCGGGGCACAUUAAUGCAAGAUUUCUUUAAUUUUCCCUAUUUUACAAUUAAUUUUGCGUAUGGAAAAUGAUUUAUUUACAGUUGUAUAUGUUAACAUUGGUAUUGAUCUGAUCCUCUUAUUGGUUAGAUCUAUCUAUUUGUUUCGAUUGCACAAAUUUUUUUUGCAAUUGUUUUGUUUACUAGAUUGUUUAAAGUUUAUAUAUAAAUAAACAAACACACACAAAAAAUCAUAAGUAACCGAACAAAAUUCAAUUAUCAUGACAUCACAAAUUUGGCAUAAAAAAAGCUCAUUAAACUCUCUUUAAUUACAAUUGUGUUGUGAUGGAUUUAUAAAUGACAGCAUUAACUUUUGAAUGUAUUCGAAUUGUCUUUAUUUCUGUUUUAUUUAAAUGUAAAAGUCUUGUACUGUGCCUGUCUCCUCGUGUAAAUUUACCUCUUUUUAAUGUAGUAGACUAGAUAAAUGUAUCAAAUGUAGCCAAUUCUUCGUUUCGUUUUAUUUCUUCAGCAUACAGUUAUAUCGAAAUAUAUCUAUGUGUAUUGAGUAACUUAUACCUUUGAUCGAUUUUCUAUCAUUUAAAAAAAAAACAACAAUGGAAAACAAUCAACAAUUUUUGACAUGUCUUUUUUGAAACACAAAAUCGACUACGAAAAUAUAAAAUACAACAUGUAAAACACCGAUUCAAAGUUCAAAACAAUAGUCUUUCCCAACUAAAUAUAUGCAAUAACUUCCCCAUGACGACAUUUUGAGAAUGACCUACCAUUUUUGAUACAUUUUUUUUAACAUUGUAAAUCCCGUCCUCCAUGUAGCGAUAAAGAACACCGUAGAAUCGAUCCGAAUCUCAUACAAAUUUUCACAAAAAAACAUGUAUUACGUCAGUAGUAUUUAAUCAUUAUAAUGAAGCGUAAAAUGAGAACGAAAAAGGAUGAAAGUAGACGAGGAAGUAUUAGUGUAAUUUUAAACGGUAUUAUUUACAAAAUGUCUUUCUUUUUAUUUUAGUCACUAUUUUGUAAAAUUGUGAAUCAAAUCGAUAUUGUUUAUAAAAUAUUCAGCAAUAUAGACCAUGAUAAGAACGCAUUGAACAAAACAAAUUGGAGUAAUAAAAUCGAGAAAAAAUACUAAUUAAACAUAUCUUUUAAAAUA
Contarinia nasturtii (swede midge) is the source of this 11896-nucleotide RNA transcript. It is a transcript of the gene named tyrosine-protein phosphatase 10D-like, with no coding region annotated. The record is from RefSeq and is a predicted model, not a curated record. The transcript has 17 exons. Lineage: Eukaryota; Metazoa; Arthropoda; Insecta; Diptera; Cecidomyiidae.